Molecule: long non-coding RNA, 216 nt
Organism: Acomys russatus (golden spiny mouse)
Lineage: Eukaryota; Metazoa; Chordata; Mammalia; Rodentia; Muridae
Exons: 5
Source: RefSeq, a predicted model, not a curated record
UGACAGGGGUGGAGGUGACGUCUGUAGUAGUUUCUGUGACUGGGGUGGAGGUGACGUCUGUAGUUGUUUCUGUGACAGGGGUGGAGGUGACGUCUGUAGUUGUUUCUGUGACAGGGGUGGAGGUGACGUCUGUAGUUGUUUCUGUGACAGGGGUGGAGGUGACGUCUGUAGUUGUUUCUGUGACAGGGGUGGAGGUGACCUCUGUAGUAGUUUCUG